GAUGAAUGCUGGCGGCGUGCUUAACACAUGCAAGUCGAGCGGCAGCGCGAGUAGUUUACUACUUGGCGGCGAGCGGCGGACGGCUGAGUAACGCGUAGGAACGUGCCCCAAAGUGAGGAAUAACCGCCCGAAAGGGUGGCUAAUGCCGCAUAUGAUCUUCGGAUUAAAGGAUUUAUCCGCUUUGGGAGCGGCCUGCGUAUGAUUAGGUAGUUGGUGAGGUAAUGGCUCACCAAGCCGACGAUCAUUAGCUGGUCUGAGAGGAUGACCAGCCAGACUGGAACUGAGACACGGUCCAGACUCCUACGGGAGGCAGCAGUGAGGAAUCUUCCACAAUGGGCGAAAGCCUGAUGGAGCAACGCCGCGUGAAGGAUGAAGGCCCUCGGGUCGUAAACUUCUUUUAUAAGUGAAGAAUAUGACGGUAACUUAUGAAUAAGCACCGGCUAACUACGUGCCAGCAGCCGCGGUAA
RNAcentral lists this ribosomal RNA (467 nucleotides) under uncultured bacterium. RNAcentral's name for it is "partial 16S ribosomal RNA". It matches the Rfam family "Bacterial small subunit ribosomal RNA", at positions 28 to 523 of the family's 1533-position model. The record is from RNAcentral.